RNAcentral lists this transfer RNA (80 nucleotides) under Bacteroidota bacterium. Its description in RNAcentral is "Bacteroidetes bacterium (activated sludge metagenome) tRNA-Leu". It matches the Rfam family "tRNA". Rfam says of the family: Transfer RNA (tRNA) molecules are approximately 80 nucleotides in length. Their secondary structure includes four short double-helical elements and three loops (D, anti-codon, and T loops). Lineage: Bacteria; Pseudomonadati; Bacteroidota. The record is from RNAcentral. RNAcentral also lists the same sequence under 1 other name.
GCCCAGGUGGCGAAAUUGGCAGACGCACCAUCUUGAGGGGGUGGCGAGAAAUCGUGUGAGUUCGAAUCUCAUCCUGGGCA